UGUUGUUCCCGUGUCCAGUGUGGUCUGUCUGACUCUCAGCAGGUAUCUAAGGUGUUGUUGUUCCCGUGUCCAGUGUGGUCUGUCUGACUCUCAGCAGGUAUCUAAGGUGUUGUUCCCGUGUCCAGUGUGGUCUGUCUAACUCUCAGCAGGUAUCUAAGGUGUUGUUCCCGUGUCCAGUGUGGUCUGUCUAACUCUCAGCAGGUAUCUAAGGUGUUGUGGUUCCCGUGUCCAGUGUGGUCUGUCUGACUCUCAGCAGGUAUCUAAGGUGUUGUUCCCGUGUCCAGUGUGGUCUGUCUGAUUCUCAGCAGGUAUCUAAGGUGUUGUUCCCGUGUCCAGUGUGGUCUGUCUGAUUCUCAGCAGGUAUCUAAGGUGUUGUUCCCGUGUCCAGUGUGGUCUGUCUGAUUCUCAGCAGGUAUCUAAGGUGUUGUUCCCGUGUCCAGUGUUGUCUAUCUGACUCUCAGCAGGUAUUACAUUUACAUUUUACAUUUUAGUCAUUUAGCAGACGCUCUUAUCCAGAGCGACUUACAGUAGAGUGCAUACAUUUUAUUACAUUUAUUUUUACAUUUCAUUACAUUUUACAUACUGAGACAAGGAUAUCCCUACCGGCCAAACCCUCCCUAACCCGGACGACGCUAUGCCAAUUGUGCGUCGCCCCAAGGACCUCCCGGUUGCGGCCGGCUGCGACAGAGCCUGGGCGCAAACCCAGAGACUCUGGUGGCGCAGCUAGCACUGCGAUGCAGUGCCCUAGACCACUGCGCCACCCGGGAGGACAGGUAGUCUGUCUGACUCUCAGCAGGUAUCUAAGGUGUUGUUCCCGUGUCCAGUGUGGUCUGUCUGACUCUCAGCAGGUAUCUAAGGUGUUGUGAAACUGAAGAUCUCGUACAACGUUCUGUACUUCUCCAUUCACAGAACAGCGCAAACUGUCUCUAACCAGAAUAGAGAGAGGAGUGGGAGGCCCUGGUGCACAACUGAGCAAGAGGACAAGUACAUUAGAGUGUCUAGUUUGAGAAAGCUACUAUAGCCUUCGUUUCUCAGAACAAGAACAGAGUGACGAGUUUCAUAAGAAAGGUCUUUGUUUCUCACCAUUUUGAGCCUGUAAUUGAACCCACAAAUACUGAUGCUCCAGAUACUCAACUAGUCUAAUGAAGGCCAGUUUUAUUGCUUAUUUAAUCAGAACAAAAGUUUUCAGCUGUGCUAAGAUAAUUGUAAAAGGGUUUUCUAAUGAUCAAUUAGCCUUUUGAAAUGAUAAACUUGGAUUAGCUAACACAACAUGCCAUUGGAACACAGGAGUGAUGGUUGCUCAUAAUGGGCCUCUGUACGCCUGUGUAGAUAUUCCAUAAAAAAAUCUGCCGUUUCCAGCUACAAUAGUCAUUUACAACAUUAACAAUCUCUACACUGUAUUUCUGAUGAAUUUGAUGUUAUUUUAAUGGUCAAAAAACAUGCUUUUCUUUCAAAAACAAGUACAUUUCUAAGUGACACAAAACUUCAAAACGGUAGUGUACACACACACACAUAUUAAUUAUCAUUUGCAAAUCAACUAUUUGUUUUUAAAUGUAAAGGAGGAGACCUGUGUAUUAUUGGAAUGGUUAAUAACUGUCAUCAUUAAGCAUUCCAAUAAUCCAGUAAAUCAAUCAUGUUUCCAGAUUAAAUCUCAGGUUUUCUUUUCAAAUCUUUAUAAAUCUCUGUCUUUGCUUUGACAUCACUGUGAGAAGUCCUUCAAGAAGAGAUAUACGUUCAAGAUGCAUCUCACACACAUCCAGGAGUGUUGACAACAGCAGGUUGUCAGGAUGUAGUGCCAUUUUCAUCAUACAUAGCAUCUUAGCAGAACAUAAACAUCAAUCUUGUGAGGUCAAGGGGGUAUCACGCCCUGAUCUGUUAACCCUGUCCUUGUGCUUGUCUCCACCCCCAUCCAGGUGUCGCCCAUAUUUGCCAUUAUCCCCUGUGUAUUUAUACCUGUGUUCUCUGUUUGUCUGUUGCCAGUUCGUCUUGUUUUUCAAGUCAACCAGUGUUUUUGUUCCCAGCUCCUGCUUUUCCCAGUCUCUCUUUUUCUCGUCCUCCUGGUUUUGACCCUUGCCUGUCCUGACUCUGAGCCCGCCUGCCUGACCCCUCUGCCUGCCCCUGAGCCUGCCUGCCGUCCUGUACCUUUGCCCCACUACUCUGGAUUAUCGACCCCUACCUGCCUUGACCUGUCGUUUUCCUGCCCGUGUUGGUGCGCAAGUGUGAGUUCUAUGACUAUGACAACAAGAAGCUCCUACUCAACCACCAGCUGUACCACACCGAUGACCGGCCCUUUAAAUGUGACUACUGUAAAUACUCCACCUCUAAAGAGGACUUCCUGGUCUCUCACCUGGCCAUCAAACACACAGGAGAGAAACCGUUCUCCUGUGUGAUGUGCCACUUCAUGACGAAGCACCGUAAGAACCUGCGGGUCCAGUGUCGCCACCCUGAGGCGUUUGAGGAGUGGAGCGCUACGCACCCUGAGAAGCCCGUCAGACGGAGGAGGAGACCCUCCUUUACCCAGCAGCAGAUAGAGGAACUCAAACAACAACAUGACGACACACCGGGCCUAUAUCCUGGAAGUGGAUCCUGAUACAUUACAAGCCAUGCAGACAAUGCAGAACGCCUCAGUCUCCCAAGAUGCAAUGGGAAGCACCACCACCAUCUACGAACAGGCCGGAAACUCAGACCCGUCAGCCCAGAAUGCUCUGGAUCUGCUGUUGGGAAACUCACACAACAAAAAGUUGUGAUCUUUCACGUGUCUGAGACUGGCGAGACCCUGGUGCAGGAGGAGGGUUAUGAGGCGGGGACCAAUGAGAAUGGAGAGAUCACCCAGCUGGCCAUCCAGACCUACAAGGGGGCAGAAGGCUUCAGUGUGUUGGAACAGGUGGAACAAGCUACAGAGGAGAUCCACAGCAUUGGACUUGAAUACAGGUACAAUCAAUCACAUCAGUCAGGUGCAACACCAUGGUCUGACCAGGGUUGUGUUCAGUAGGGCAAUGGAAAACAAAAACCUCUGCUCUCAUUGGACAAGUUCAAGCAGUAAUCCGCUGUUUUCACUAUGUUCCAAUGUGUGUGUGUGUGUGUGUGUGUGUGUGUGUGUGUAUGUGUGUGUGUGUGUGUGUGUGUGUGUGUGUGUGUGUGUGUGUGUGUGUGUGUGUGUGUGUGUGUGUGUGUGUGUGUGUGUAAACAUUUUCACCACGUUUUUGCUGUCCCAAACACAUUUUCAUGAAUGUGGAUUUCUCCUCCAAUGCAUUUUCAGAACGAGGCUAGCAGAGAGGGCACGAGGGAGGCUAGCAGAGAGGGCCUGAGGGAGGCUAGCAGAGAGGGCACGAGGGAGGCUAGCAGAGAGGGCCUG
This is a long non-coding RNA of Salvelinus fontinalis (brook trout), 3355 nucleotides long. RefSeq lists it as uncharacterized. The transcript has 6 exons. The record is from RefSeq and is a predicted model, not a curated record. Lineage: Eukaryota; Metazoa; Chordata; Actinopteri; Salmoniformes; Salmonidae.